UAUGCCCUGGGCUACACACGUGGUACAAUGGGAAGUACAACGAGUUGCGAAGUCGGGAGGUUAAGCUAAUCUCUUAAAGCUUCUCUCAGUUUGGAUUGCAGGCUGCAACUUGCCUGCAUGAAGCCGGAAUCGCUAGUAAUCGCGGAUCAGCACGCCGCGGUGAAUACGUUCCCGGGCCUUGUACACACCGCCCGUCACACCACGAGAGUUUGUAACACCCGAAGUCGGUGAGGUAACCUUUUCCGGUGGAGCCAGCCGCCUAAGGUGGAAAAAGAAGAUUAGGGUGAAG
RNAcentral lists this ribosomal RNA (289 nucleotides) under Enterococcus faecium. Its description in RNAcentral is "partial 16S ribosomal RNA". It matches the Rfam family "Bacterial small subunit ribosomal RNA", at positions 1203 to 1485 of the family's 1533-position model. The record is from RNAcentral. Lineage: Bacteria; Bacillati; Bacillota; Bacilli; Lactobacillales; Enterococcaceae.